This 408-nucleotide ribosomal RNA is filed under the name uncultured bacterium. RNAcentral's name for it is "partial 16S ribosomal RNA". It matches the Rfam family "Bacterial small subunit ribosomal RNA", at positions 29 to 526 of the family's 1533-position model. The record is from RNAcentral.
AGUGAACGCUGGCGGCGUGCCUAAUACAUGCAAGUCGAACGGAGUGGCGCACGGGUGAGUAAUGUAUAGCUAAUCUGCCCUACACUAGAGGACAACAGUUGGAAACGGCUGCUAAUACUCUAUAGUGUAGGAUGAGGCUAUAUUGUAUCAGCUAGUUGGUGAGGUAAUGGCUCACCAAGGCUAUGACCAAUAACUGGUCUGAGAGGAUGAGGAGUCACACGGGAACUGAGACACGAGCCAGACUCCUACGGGAGGCAGCAGUAGGGAGUAGUACUCAAUGGGCGAAGCCCUGAAGCAGCAACGCCGCGUGGAGUAUGGCACUUGUCGGAGCAUAAACUCAUUUUGUUAGGCAAGCGGUACCUAACGAAUAAGCACCGGCUAACUCCGUGCCAGCAGCCGCGGUAAUAC